GACGAACGCGGGCGGCGUGCGUAAUACAUGCAAGUAGAACGCUGAAGAGAGGAGCUUGCUCUUCUUGGAUGAGUUGCGAACGGGUGAGUAACGCGUAGGUAACCUGCCUUGUAGCGGGGGAUAACUAUUGGAAACGAUAGCUAAUACCGCAUAACAAUGGAUGACACAUGUCAUUUAUUUGAAAGGGGCAAUUGCUCCACUACAAGAUGGACCUGCGUUGUAUUAGCUAGUAGGUGAGGUAACGGCUCACCUAGGCGACGAUACAUAGCCGACCUGAGAGGGUGAUCGGCCACACUGGGACUGAGACACGGCCCAGACUCCUACGGGAGGCAGCAGUAGGGAAUCUUCGGCAAUGGGGGCAACCCUGACCGAGCAACGCCGCGUGAGUGAAGAAGGUUUUCGGAUCGUAAAGCUCUGUUGUAAGUCAAGAACGAGUGUGAGAGUGGAAAGUUCACACUGUGACGGUAGCUUACCAGAAAGGGACGGCUAACUACGUGCCAGCAGCCGCGGUAAUACGUAGGUCCCGAGCGUUGUCCGGAUUUAUUGGGCGUAAAGCGAGCGCAGGCGGUUUGAUAAGUCUGAAGUUAAAGGCUGUGGCUCAACCAUAGUUCGCUUUGGAAACUGUCAAACUUGAGUGCAGAAGGGGAGAGUGGAAUUCCAUGUGUAGCGGUGAAAUGCGUAGAUAUAUGGAGGAACACCGGUGGCGAAAGCGGCUCUCUGGUCUGUAACUGACGCUGAGGCUCGAAAGCGUGGGGAGCGAACAGG
This 765-nucleotide ribosomal RNA is filed under the name uncultured Streptococcus sp. Its description in RNAcentral is "bacterial SSU rRNA". It matches the Rfam family "Bacterial small subunit ribosomal RNA", at positions 28 to 776 of the family's 1533-position model. The record is from RNAcentral. Lineage: Bacteria; Bacillati; Bacillota; Bacilli; Lactobacillales; Streptococcaceae.